UACGUAUGGUGCAAGCGUUAUCCGGAUUUACUGGGUGUAAAGGGUGCGUAGGCGGCUUUGCAAGUCAGUUGUGAAAGUUUGCGGCUCAACCGUAAAAUUGCAGUUGAAACUGGCAGUCUUGAGUACAGUAGAGGUGGGCGGAAUUCGUGGUGUAGCGGUGAAAUGCUUAGAUAUCACGAAGAACUCCGAUUGCGAAGGCAGCUCACUAGACUGUUACUGACACUGAUGCUCGAAAGUGUGGGUAUCAAACAGG
Molecule: ribosomal RNA, 253 nt
Filed under: Bacteroides ovatus
Lineage: Bacteria; Pseudomonadati; Bacteroidota; Bacteroidia; Bacteroidales; Bacteroidaceae
Description: partial 16S ribosomal RNA
Rfam family: Bacterial small subunit ribosomal RNA
Source: RNAcentral